Non-coding RNA from Taeniopygia guttata (zebra finch), 2401 nucleotides. NCBI's taxonomy places the organism in Eukaryota, Metazoa, Chordata, Aves, Passeriformes, Estrildidae. The record is from RefSeq and is a predicted model, not a curated record.
CGGGGUCCCGUCCUCCCACAGCAUCCCUGCCCCGGGGUCCCGUCCUCCCACAGCAUCCCUGCCCCGGAGCCGCGUCCUUACCACAGCAUCCCUGCCCCUGCCCGCACUGCCGCCCGCAACCCCACCCCGAGUUUCCUGAGGAACUUAUCCGGUAUUUUGUGGUACUUAGUGCUUAUUCACUGAGAUCAAAGCCGACAAGUUAUUCUUAGGCUGGCUUGGCUGAGCAGGGAUCUUCUUUUGAAGCACAGAAAUGAGUUUGCUGUUCUGAAAGGUGUAAAAAUAUCCGUGGCAGAGAGACCUUUUAUGCUGCAGGAAGAAUCAGUGUAUAGAACAGCUCGAACAAAAGACAUACUUUGUGCAGAAUGUCAUCUGAUGAGAAGAAAAGCACAACUCCAGUUUUCCCAGAUGACUGUGUUCAGGACAGUUCUGUUUCUUCAGAUUCUCAGGAUGAAUAUAAAGAGCUGUUUCAUUUUACUGUAACGGCUCCGAAGUUUGAACAGUGUGUCUCAAAGUUGCCAGACCCUGCCUCAGAACAGAGACCACCUGACAGAGUUUCCAGGUUAACAGACGAAUCCAGUCAUCGUAGUAAUCCAGUCUCAACAUCAGUGAAGCAGGCUGGUAUGGAACAACCUGCUCUUCCAGAAACAAUUUCUUCCACACAUGAUCCAAGAGAAGUCAGCAAAACCACAGUGACUGAAUUAACUUCACCAGGUGGAGAAGUCACUCAAAUAGAAAAUAUAGUUGAUCUCUGCAGUGGAAGUUUUAAGACAAAUAUUCUGACUGAACUGAAAAAUUGGGAACUUAAUUUGAUUCAACAUCACAAGCUUCAAAUGAGACAAGAGAAAGCGAAACAUGCCACACAAGUGAAGCAACUGCAGAAUGAGAUGGAAAACCUGAAAGAGUUACUUCAUAAUUAUGAAAUCUCUAUUAGCAGGAAAGAUGAGGUAAUUAUCAACUUGACCCGAGCAUUAGGAAAGCAGAAGGAGAGAGCAGUGUUGUUGAGAGCGUUUACACAGUGGCGGAUUCAGCAUGUUAAAGCCAAACAAGAGGAAUAUGCAAUUAGAAUGGCAGAUAGACAUUUCCAGACAACUUUGAUGAAGAAAGCGUGGGCCGCAUGGCACUCUGUUAGUGAAGAAAGACGGAAAGACGAAGUAGCAAGAGCCUGUCAGUUAAGGGCAGAAGAUGUGUGUGUUCAGCUUGCCAGUGAUUGUGAAGCAAAAAUUGCAGAGUUAACUGCUGCUUUGGAAAUGACAAGAGCUGCGGUUCUGCGACUGCAUACUGAAAGAGAUGAGUAUGAAGACACGAUAAAGAAAGCCUUUAUGCGUGGUGUGUGUGCUUUGAAUCUGGAAGCAAUCACCAUGUUUCAAAGCAAGGACAGUAGGCCAGAUCCUGAUAUAGGAAGCAGGAGAAAUGAUCAUGCUACCACUGGUGCAGGCAGGCCACCUCCUUCACAAUAUAAUCAACCCUCACCACCACCUCCACCAGCAGCUGCUCUUCAGAUGGAAAACAUGUUUUGUAGCCACCUGGCUCAUGCAAGCACUCCUGAGACCAGACUAGAUUCUGAUUCUCCAGUUAUCGUCACUAGCACAACAUCGGGAUCUGGUGCGACAUCAACUCAAAAACUGCCCAUGGCAAAAAUAAUAACAUCUGCACAACAGAAAGCAGGAAGAACAAUCACUGCUCGAAUCACAGGUCGAGCUGAUAUGGGACAAAAAUCCAGAGCUUUUAGGAGUUUAACAGUGAGGAGAGUUGCUCCACCCAUGAGUUCAGUUAUUGUUGAGAAGCAUCAUCCAGUCACUCAGGAGUUCACAGAUUUAGUGAGGUAAUUAUUUCAUGAAGAACAAUUUCUGGAUUCAGAUUUUGUGAGUAGUGUGAUGAGGAAAGCACCUGAACUACUGUACCAAAAACUGACUUCCGAAAAUGAAAUAACUGUGACAGCCCAGGAGAUAUAUUCUGUAUACCCAUUCUGCAAAUAAAAGUCUUAAGUCAGCAAACGAUAUCACGAGUCAGUGCUGAUAAGUAUCCUUGAACUUCAUUCUUCUGGCUCUACGGCUGUGAGACCCGCAGGACAAGCUGGGCGAGUGCUUCGGGGCCAAACUCAGACCUGUGUUCAGUCAAUAAAUGUUGUGAACUGUCUGACUGUUUUCCUCAUCAGUAAGGGCUUUUAAUCAAGGUACCUCUUCCCAGUCUUUUCAGAUUUGAUGCAGCAAGUCCUAAGGUGCAUAUCAUGUUUUUACCCUUUUCUAAAAAAUGACUUUUUUUAAGAGCUUUUAUAAUAAAACCUGAAGGGGGGAAAAAGAACUUGGUACGGUUGUUCUACCUCCAAACUUUUAUUAUUAAGUCAAAAACUUUUUAUUUACGGACUCUUUAGUGCACUUUUUAAAUAAAGAAUACAAUGUGA